RNAcentral lists this ribosomal RNA (520 nucleotides) under uncultured Glomus. RNAcentral's name for it is "SSU rRNA". It matches the Rfam family "Eukaryotic small subunit ribosomal RNA", at positions 569 to 1090 of the family's 1831-position model. The record is from RNAcentral. Lineage: Eukaryota; Fungi; Glomeromycota; Glomeromycetes; Glomerales; Glomeraceae.
AGCAGCCGCGGUAAUUCCAGCUCCAAUAGCGUAUAUUAAAGUUGUUGCAGUUAAAAAGCUCGUAGUUGAAUUUCGGGAUCAAUCUGCCGGUCGUGCCUCCGGUAUGCACUGGUUUUAUUGGUUUCUCCCUUCUGACGAAUCAUGAUGUCAUUAAUUUGGUGUCAUGGGGAAUCAGGACUGUUACUUUGAAAAAAUUAGAGUGUUUAAAGCAGGCUCACGCUUGAAUACAUUAGCAUGGAAUAAUGAAAUAGGACGUUUGACCCUAUUUUGUUGGUUUCUAGGAUCGACGUAAUGAUUAAUAGGGAUAGUUGGGGGCAUUAGUAUUCAAUUGUCAGAGGUGAAAUUCUUGGAUUUAUUGAAGACUAACUACUGCGAAAGCAUUUGCCAAGGAUGUUUUCAUUAAUCAAGAACGAAAGUUAGGGGAUCGAAGACGAUCAGAUACCGUCGUAGUCUUAACCAUAAACUAUGCCGACUAGGGAUCGGAUGAUGUUAAUUUUUUAAUGACUCAUUCGGCGCCUUA